This 1008-nucleotide long non-coding RNA is filed under the name Salvia miltiorrhiza (redroot sage). RNAcentral describes it as "long non-coding RNA (SMIL_LNC000364)". The record is from RNAcentral. Lineage: Eukaryota; Viridiplantae; Streptophyta; Magnoliopsida; Lamiales; Lamiaceae.
GGAGGGAAAGCUUCAUAAUUCGAAGAGCAUGAAACAAAACUCCUAGAUCAAAGCCCCAAUUCCAGAAAUCCCUAAAUUGUUGUCGCCACUACCUAGGUGUGCAAACAACACCAGUCGCCGAUCAGCGGUUGUCCCGAUCUGUGGCCUACCUCAGAAAGAAUUGAAGAAGAUUUGUUGGCAUUUCACAGCCGAUGGAAAUAUACAGGGAAACUAUUCAACCCUUAUUCUCAUAUUCUCUAUGUUAGUGCGUUUGUGUGGGAUUCUAAUCUUCUUUUUGCUUGAUAGCUGAUGGAAAUAUACACGGGAAAUUACUACCAGGGCGAUACACUCAUCUUCACCUGACGAAUGAAGGGGAAUACCAUCUGUAGAUGUCUCUUGGAUUCGACCAUCGCUACUACAACAAUAAGCUCUAAUAGGCGAAAGGUUUUUGCGCCAUCCCUGGUCAUCGCAAUUUGCGACGAACUCUCCUCAGUGCCCAGCAGAAUCCCUCCAUCAGCGGAGAGCUCCGAGUUACCACCGCGCAGGAGCCACGCACGCCGCCGGCUACUAGAAGAGGGAAAAAUCCGCAUUUUUCUCAAUUUAUUUCAUGAUGAACUGAGUCCCCCAAUUUUGUUGCUUAUCUUGCUAAUCUCUUGUGAUUUUGCCAUUUUUUAGCGCCGUGAGGAGUAAGGCCAGAAUGGGUUCCUAUUUAGCUGCGGAGCAGUGCCUUGGCGGUGGCGGAGGCCAUCGACACGGCCGUCGCCGAUGACGUUCUUGACGUGAGCUGCAUCACCGACAGCGGCACCAAUAGGCUCUCUCAUCUCUCCUGUCGGAGUCGAAGCUGCUGCUUCCCUGGUUUGAUGGAGCAGGGCAGGCACCCCUCUCAACUCGAAGGAAUGGAUACACAGCCUGCUAGCUCCAGAUUUUGUCGUCCAAGCCCACAAAACUAAGCCUGAUAGUCCUUCAAAACAAAAGCUAAGAUACUUAUUUAUAUCUUUAAAUAUUAUCACCAUUUGAUGGUUUUCAAUC